GGGCUAUGGUGUGGGCACUUCUUGAGCAUUGACUUGUAGUGUUCCAAUGCUUCGUACAAGGAUUCACCUUUAUAUUGUUUAAAAUUGGCGAUUUCUCGCCUAAGCUA
Molecule: non-coding RNA, 107 nt
Organism: Gossypium arboreum
Lineage: Eukaryota; Viridiplantae; Streptophyta; Magnoliopsida; Malvales; Malvaceae
Source: Rfam